RNAcentral lists this ribosomal RNA (433 nucleotides) under uncultured bacterium. RNAcentral describes it as "partial 16S ribosomal RNA". It matches the Rfam family "Bacterial small subunit ribosomal RNA", at positions 355 to 777 of the family's 1533-position model. The record is from RNAcentral.
UGGGGAAUUUUGGACAAUGGGCGAAAGCCUGAUCCAGCAAUGCCGCGUGUGUGAAGAAGGGCCUUCGGGUUGUAAAGCACUUUUGUCCGGAAAGAAAUCCUCUGGGUUAAUACCUCGGGGGGAUGACGGUACCGGAAGAAUAAGCACCGGCUAACUACGUGCCAGCAGCCGCGGUAAUACGUAGGGUGCAAGCGUUAAUCGGAAUUACUGGGCGUAAAGCGUGCGCAGGCGGUUUUGUAAGACGGAUGUGAAAUCCCCGGGCUUAACCUGGGAACUGCAUUCGUGACUGCAAGGCUAGAGUAUGGCAGAGGGGGGUUAGAAUUCCACGUGUGAGCAGUGAAAUGCGUAGAGAUGUGGAGGAAUACCGAUGGCGAAGGCAGCCCCCUGGGCCAAUACUGACGCUCAUGCACGAAAGCGUGGGGAGCAAACAGGA